AUCUGGAUGGCUCAGUUAGUGAGACCAUGGUGCUGAUAAUGCCAAGGUUGCAGGUUUGAUCUCUGUAUGGGACA
Non-coding RNA from Podarcis lilfordi (Lilford's wall lizard), 74 nucleotides. Lineage: Eukaryota; Metazoa; Chordata; Lepidosauria; Squamata; Lacertidae. The record is from the annotation of a GenBank genome assembly.